GUCCAAGUAAUUUAACUAAAAUACUGGCCUUGUAAGCCAACUAUGAAGGUAAACUCCUUCCUAGGACC
This is a non-coding RNA of Sarcophilus harrisii (Tasmanian devil), 68 nucleotides long. The record is from Ensembl. Lineage: Eukaryota; Metazoa; Chordata; Mammalia; Dasyuromorphia; Dasyuridae.